AGUAAAAGUCGUAACAAGGUUUCCGUAGGUGAACCUGCGGAAGGAUCAUUAAUGAAUUAGAAACAACGGAGCUGUUGCUGGCCUUUUACUAGGCAUGUGCACGCUUUGUUAACUCAUCCACAUACCUCUGUGCACCCUUCAUAGAUCGGCAAAAGGUGGGUUAUUCCUGCUCAGUAGUCUUUCUAUGCAUACAACAAACAUCAGUAUUAGAAUGUACACUUGCGAUAAUCGCAUUGAAACACAACUUUCAGCAACGGAUCUCUUGGCUCUCGCAUCGAUGAAGAACGCAGCGAAAUGCGAUAAGUAAUGUGAAUUGCAGAAUUCAGUGAAUCAUCGAAUCUUUGAACGCACCUUGCGCUCCCUGGUAUUCCGGGGAGCACGCCCGUUUGAGUGUCAUGGUAUUCUCAACCUUCCUCACUUUUGUGACUGGAAGGCUUGGAUGUGGAGGUCGUGCGGGCUCUCGCGAGUCGGCUCCUCUGAAAUGCAUUAGCGUGAACGUUUACGGAUCGCUAUCAGUGUGAUAAUUAUCUGCGCUGUUAGUGUUGAAGUAUUGAUUAGUGUCGCGCUUCUAACCGUCCUUCAGUUGGACAACUUAUCUGACAUCUGGCCUCAAAUCGGGCGGGACUACCCGCUGAACUUAAGCAUAUCAAUAAG
RNAcentral lists this ribosomal RNA (654 nucleotides) under uncultured fungus. RNAcentral describes it as "eukaryotic LSU rRNA". The stretch from base 243 to 396 matches the Rfam family "5.8S ribosomal RNA". Lineage: Eukaryota; Fungi. The record is from RNAcentral.